AUUGAACGCUGGCGGCAUGCUUUACACAUGCAAGUCGAACGGUAACAGGGUGCUUGCACCGCUGACGAGAGGCGAACGGGUGAGUAAUGCGUCGGAACGUGCCGAGUAGUGGGGGAUAACGCAGCGAAAGUUGUGCUAAUACCGCAUACGUACUGAGGUAGAAAGUGGGGGACCUUCGGCCUCACGCUAUUCGAGCGGCCGACGUCUGAUUAGCUAGUAGGUGAGGUAAAGGCUCACCUAGGCGACGAUCAGUAGCGGGUCUGAGAGGAUGAUCCGCCACACUGGGACUGAGACACGGCCCAGACUCCUACGGGAGGCAGCAGUGGGGAAUUUUGGACAAUGGGCGAAAGCCUGAUCCAGCCAUGCCGCGUGUCUGAAGAAGGCCUUCGGGUUGUAAAGGACUUUUGUCAGGGAGGAAAUCCCUAGUGCUAAUAACACUGGGGGAUGACAGUACCUGAAGAAUAAGCACCGGCUAACUACGUGCCAGCAGCCGCGGUAA
Molecule: ribosomal RNA, 499 nt
Filed under: uncultured bacterium
Lineage: Bacteria
Description: partial 16S ribosomal RNA
Rfam family: Bacterial small subunit ribosomal RNA
Source: RNAcentral